GCGGCAGGCUUAACACAUGCAAGUCGAGCGGGCGAGGUUGCUUCGGUAACUGAGCUAGCGGCGGACGGGUGAGUAAAGCUUAGGAAUCUGCCUAUUAGUGGGGGACAACAUUUCGAAAGGGAUGCUAAUACCGCAUACGUCCUACGGGAGAAAGCAGGGGACCUUCGGGCCUUGCGCUAAUAGAUGAGCCUAAGUCGGAUUAGCUAGUUGGUGGGGUAAAGGCCUACCAAGGCGACGAUCUGUAGCGGGUCUGAGAGGAUGAUCCGCCACACUGGGACUGAGACACGGCCCAGACUCCUACGGGAGGCAGCAGUGGGGAAUAUUGGACAAUGGGGGGAACCCUGAUCCAGCCAUGCCGCGUGUGUGAAGAAGGCCUUUUGGUUGUAAAGCACUUUAAGUGGGGAGGAGGCUCUCUUGGUUAAUACCUAAGAAGAGUGGACGUUACCCACAGAAUAAGCACCGGCUAACUCUGUGCCAGCAGCCGCGGUAAUACAGAGGGUGCGAGCGUUAAUCGGAUUUACUGGGCGUAAAGCG
This 534-nucleotide ribosomal RNA is filed under the name uncultured bacterium. Its description in RNAcentral is "bacterial SSU rRNA". It matches the Rfam family "Bacterial small subunit ribosomal RNA", at positions 39 to 567 of the family's 1533-position model. The record is from RNAcentral.